Molecule: long non-coding RNA, 371 nt
Filed under: Mytilus galloprovincialis (Mediterranean mussel)
Lineage: Eukaryota; Metazoa; Mollusca; Bivalvia; Mytilida; Mytilidae
Source: RNAcentral
CAAUUGUAUAAGUCUAAAUGUAGCAUAUCUUCAUUACAAUAAAGCAGACAUUUUGCACUUGUUCUUUUAUAUGUAUCUUUCAAAGUGUCAGAUAAAAUGCAAAAACAAGCAAAAGUCACAAAUGAGAACUUGACCUUGACCUUUGACCUUGACCUCAUUUUCUAAGUUAGUACCUAGGGGACUCAUAUAAAAACAUUCCAGGGUUGUACGGUUAAUGGUUUAUAAGUUAAAAAUACAUGCCGACAAAGUUAUUGUUUAAAGGUAAUGAAGGUAGAUAGAUAACUCGCUUUGAUCCAAAUAAGCCAAAAAUUCCUCAAAUUCCUAAGGAUGUAACGAACAAUUAAGAAAAAGAAUUUUGUCGAUAUCUUUUU